This 30-nucleotide non-coding RNA is filed under the name Mus musculus (house mouse). The record is from RNAcentral. Lineage: Eukaryota; Metazoa; Chordata; Mammalia; Rodentia; Muridae.
UCAACUUACUGUGGAACUGCCGUUUUGAUU